AAAUCAUAAAAGUUUUAUUAGAAAUAAUCAAGUUUAAAUUUAACAAGUUAAUUAUAGUGAGACAGCAAUUGCACUCCAAUAUGUACCUUGUCAAUAUGUUCAUGUGCAAAAAGUCGAAUUUAAAAUAAUUAGCGGACGUUACAUUGCGAAUAUUUUAUAAUAAAAUUGAACGAGCACAAAAAAUAUUACAUCAUUCCAAUCGUCGAAAUCAUGAUUUUGGGUCAAAUAGUAUUUUUCAUGGUUUUGGCAACCAGCCAAGCCGCACCCCCUGCAAAAUGCGACCCAGCAAAUGGAGCCGUUUUGCCGAAUACACCUCAAAUCGCAUCGGCAAUAAAAUCUUGUCUAAAUUCUACAAAAUUUACAUUUCCAGAAAUAAAAAGUGAAUCUGACCUGAGUAAGUUUUUCAUUGAUUUUGAAGCGACAAAGUUUGACGACAAAUGUUUCGCUAAAUGUGUUGGGGACGAGUUGAAAUUGAUAACAUCGGAUCAAAAAUUAAAUCGUCAGGAAUUUUUAAAAUUACUGAAAUUUUCGAUUGAAAAAAUUGAUAAAGUGAUUGAGUGUUAUGACUGCAUGUGCGGAUGAGGGAGAUAAAACUAACGAAAAUGUGUGCAUAAAAGCAGCAAAAUUUCAGAUUUGUUUUGCCAAAGGAUUAUUGGAUAAGAAAGAUGAGACUUUAAAAUGUUAAUGUGAUAACCAAACACGUCAAAAUAAAUGGGAAUGUCGACACACCGCAACAAUUUAAUCACUUUCUUUUUGGCCAUAAAUUGACAAUACACUAUUUUAAUUGCUGUAUUAAAUAAUUAAAUUAAUACAUUGCAGGAUUAAUUAUUUU
This is a long non-coding RNA of Folsomia candida, 832 nucleotides long. RefSeq lists it as uncharacterized. The record is from RefSeq and is a predicted model, not a curated record. The transcript has 4 exons. NCBI's taxonomy places the organism in Eukaryota, Metazoa, Arthropoda, Collembola, Entomobryomorpha, Isotomidae.